GAUGAACGCUGGCGGCGUGCCUAAUACAUGCAAGUCGAGCGAACAGACGAGGAGCUUGCUCCUCUGACGUUAGCGGCGGACGGGUGAGUAACACGUGGAUAACCUACCUAUAAGACUGGGAUAACUUCGGGAAACAGGAGCUAAUACCGGAUAAUAUAUUGAACCGCAUGGUUCAAUAGUGAAAGACGGUUUUGCUGUCACUUAUAGAUGGAUCCGCGCCGCUUUAGCUAGUUGGUAAGGUAACGGCUUACCAAGGCAACGAUGCGUAGCCGACCUGAGAGGGUGAUCGGCCACACUGGAACUGAGACACGGUCCAGACUCCUACGGGAGGCAGCAGUAGGGAAUCUUCCGCAAUGGGCGAAAGCCUGACGGAGCAACGCCGCGUGAGUGAUGAAGGUCUUCGGAUCGUAAAACUCUGUUAUUAGGGAAGAACAAAUGUGUAAGUAACUAUGCACGUCUUGACGGUACCUAAUCAGAAAGCCACGGCUAACUACGUG
RNAcentral lists this ribosomal RNA (497 nucleotides) under uncultured bacterium. RNAcentral's name for it is "partial 16S ribosomal RNA". It matches the Rfam family "Bacterial small subunit ribosomal RNA", at positions 28 to 507 of the family's 1533-position model. The record is from RNAcentral.